GAUGAACGCUGGCGGCGUGCCUAAUACAUGCAAGUCGAGCGAACGGACGAGAAGCUUGCUUUUCUGAUGUUAGCGGCGGACGGGUGAGUAACACGUGGAUAACCUACCUAUAAGACUGGGAUAACUUCGGGAAACCGGAGCUAAUACCGGAUAAUAUUUUGAACCGCAUGGUUCAAAAGUGAAAGACGGUCUUGCUGUCACUUAUAGAUGGAUCCGCGCUGCAUUAGCUAGUUGGUAAGGUAACGGCUUACCACGGCAACGAUGCAUAGCCGACCUGAGCGGGUGAUCGGCCACACUGGAACUGAGACACGGUCCAGACUCCUACGGGAGGCAGCAGUAGGGAAUCUUCCGCAAUGGGCGAAAGCCUGACGGAGCAACGCCGCGUGAGUGGUGAAGGUCUUCGGAUCGUAAAACUCUGUUAUUAGGGAAGAACAUAUGUGUAAGUAACUGUGCACAUCUUGACGGUACCUAAUCAGAAAGCCACGGCUAACUACGUG
RNAcentral lists this ribosomal RNA (497 nucleotides) under uncultured bacterium. RNAcentral's name for it is "partial 16S ribosomal RNA". It matches the Rfam family "Bacterial small subunit ribosomal RNA", at positions 28 to 507 of the family's 1533-position model. The record is from RNAcentral.